RNAcentral lists this ribosomal RNA (1340 nucleotides) under Drymusa rengan. Its description in RNAcentral is "eukaryotic LSU rRNA". It matches the Rfam family "Eukaryotic large subunit ribosomal RNA", at positions 646 to 1873 of the family's 3401-position model. Lineage: Eukaryota; Metazoa; Arthropoda; Arachnida; Araneae; Drymusidae. The record is from RNAcentral.
GACCCGUCUUGAAACACGGACCAAGGAGUCUAACAUGUGCGCGAGUCACGGGGUCUUGAAUAGGCCCGGAGGCGCAAUGAAAGUGAAGGCCGCGUUCGCGCGUGCCGCGUUGGGACUCGUCUACUGGUUUCGGCCCGUGGGCGAGGCACCAACGGCCCGUCCCGUCCGAUUUAUCGGUGGGGCGGAGUCCGAGCGUACACGUUGGGACCCGAAAGAUGGUGAACUAUGCCUGGGCAGGACGAAGCCAGAGGAAACUCUGGUGGAGGUCCGUAGCGGUUCUGACGUGCAAAUCGAUCGUCAGACCUGGGUAUAGGUGCGAAAGACUAAUCGAACCAUCUAGUAGCUGGUUCCCUCCGAAGUUUCCCUCAGGAUAGCUGGCACUCGGAGGAAUCAGUCUCAUCCGGUAAAGCGAAUGAUUAGAGGCCUUGGGGCCGAAACGACCUCAACCUAUUCUCAAACUUUAAAUGGGUGAGAAGUCCGGCUUGCGAGACCGAAGCCCGGACCGUCUCGGAUGUGAGUGCCCAGUGGGCCACUUUUGGUAAGCAGAACUGGCGCUGUGGGAUGAACCAAACGCCGGGUUACGGCGCCCGAUGCGAGACGCUCAUGAGACCCCAUGAAAGGUGUUAGUUGCUACAGACAGCAGGGCGGUGGCCAUGGAAGUCGGAAUCCGCUAAGGAGUGUGUAACAACUCACCUGCCGAAGCAACUAGCCCUGAAAAUGGAUGGCGCUCCAGCGUCGAGCCCAUACCCGGCCGUCGCGGCAGAGCUUCUUUUUAUAAAUCAGUUGGAGACUUACGCCGCGACGAGUAGGAGGGUCGCGGCGGCGAGCGUUGAAGGUGCCGGGCGCGAGCCCGCCUGGAGCCGCCGCCGGUGCAGAUCUUGGUGGUAGUAGCAAAUACUCAAGUGAGAACCUUGAGGACUGAGGUGGAGAAGGGUUCCAUGUGAACAGCAGUUGAACAUGGGUCAGUCGGUCCUAAGGAAUAGGAGAAGUCCGUUCCGAAGCGGGGCGUUGUUACUCUGACGUGUGCUCGUCCCGCUGGCGACCGAAAGGGAAUCGGGUCAAUAUUCCCGAACCCGGACGCGGAGAUCGGGCCCUCGGGUCCAAGUGCGGCGACGCAACCGAACUCGGAGACGUCGACGGGAGUCCCGGGAAGAGUUGUCUUUUCUUUGUAAGGGUCCGGGUCCCUGGAAUCGGCUCGUCCGGAGAUAGGGAUGCCGUUCCCGUAAAGCACCGCGGCUCUUGCGGUGUCCGGAGCGCUCCUGUCGGCCCUUGAAAAUCCGAGGGAGGAGGUGUGAUUUUCGCGCCGGACCGUACCCAUAUCCGCAGCAGGUCUCCAAGGU